Molecule: non-coding RNA, 46 nt
Organism: Schistosoma mansoni
Lineage: Eukaryota; Metazoa; Platyhelminthes; Trematoda; Strigeidida; Schistosomatidae
Source: Rfam
GCACUGCUUAGAAGUCCCACAAUAGGACGAAACGGCCGUCCAGUGC